GCCACCGAAUACAUUAGCAUGGGAUAAUGGAAUAGGACCCUGUCCUCCUAUUUUCAGUUGGUUUUGGCAGCGCGAGGACUAGGGUAAUGAUUAAUAGGGAUAGUUGGGGGCAUUAAUAUUUAAUUGUCAGAGGUGAAAUUCUUGGAUUUAUGAAAGAUUAACUUCUGCGAAAGCAUCUGCCAAGGAUGUUUUCAUUAAUCAAGAACGAAAGUUAGGGGAUCGAAGACGAUCAGAUACCGUCGUAGUCUUAACCAUAAACGAUGCCGACCAGCGAUUAGGAGACGUUGAAUACAAAACACCACCAUCGGUGCGGUCAUCCUUGGCGUUGGUCUUCAAAA
Molecule: ribosomal RNA, 338 nt
Filed under: Acanthamoeba palestinensis
Lineage: Eukaryota; Discosea; Longamoebia; Acanthamoebidae
Description: SSU rRNA
Rfam family: Eukaryotic small subunit ribosomal RNA
Source: RNAcentral